GUGAUAUCAGCAGAGUCUUGGUAACUAUAAGUUCAUCACAGCGUGUUUUUCAACAUCAUCUGAACGUGGGUCUACGUUUGGAUAUAGCAUCACUAAACCAGGAAAAUCUUCCCAAUGGCGCUCUUGAUAGUGAUUCUCAUAUUCGUAAUUGAUUAUCCACCAAUCAUGGCAUCGUGUCCAGAGAAGCAAGAACCAGCUACAUGUGACGGUCGAAGCUUUUUCCCGCAGUUUUACUGUGGUGACGUUUUCAUACUGGAAACGAAGUGGAGUUGUGGGAAGAAAAACAAAGACAGGUGCGUGUGCAAGUAUCCUUUGCACAGAGACAUCGACGAUCAAUGCGUUCGUCAGGAUAAAUGCAAACGAAAGUGGACAAUAUCUGAAGUCAAUCCCACA
Molecule: long non-coding RNA, 393 nt
Organism: Rhipicephalus microplus (southern cattle tick)
Lineage: Eukaryota; Metazoa; Arthropoda; Arachnida; Ixodida; Ixodidae
Source: RefSeq, a predicted model, not a curated record